GAUGAAGAACGUAGCGAAAUGCGAUAAGUAGUGUGAAUUGCAGAAUUCAGUGAAUCAUCGAAUCUUUGAACGCACAUUGCGCCCGCCAGUAUUCUGGCGGGCAUGCCUGUUCGAGCGUCAUUUCAACCCUCAAGCCCCCGGGCUUGGUGUUGGGGAUCGGCCGCCCUCCGGCGCGCCGGCCCCGAAAUCUAGUGGCGGUCUCGCUGUAGCCUCCUCUGCGUAGUAGCACACCUCGCACCGGAACGCAGCCUGGCCACGCCGUUAAACCCCCCACUUCUGAAGGUUGACCUCGGAUCAGGUAGGAAUACCCGCUGAACUUAAGCAUAUCAAUAAGCGGAGGA
Molecule: unclassified non-coding RNA, 341 nt
Filed under: soil metagenome
Description: partial contains 5.8S ribosomal RNA, internal transcribed spacer 2, and large subunit ribosomal RNA
Rfam family: 5.8S ribosomal RNA (bases 1-120)
Source: RNAcentral